GCUUAACACAUGCAAGUCGAACGGUAACAGAUAGAAGCUUGCUUCUAUGCUGACGAGUGGCGCACGGGUGAGUAAUAUAUAGGUAAUGUGCCCCGCAGACCGGGAUAGCCACUGGAAACGGUGAUUAAUACUGGAUACUCCUUCUUCUUUUAAGAGAGGUUGGGAAAUGGAUUCCGCUGCGGGAUCGGCCUAUAUCCUAUCAGCUAGUUGGUGAGGUAAGAGCUCACCAAGGCGAUGACGGGUAGCGGGUUUGAGAGGAUGAUCCGCCACACUGGUACUGAGACACGGACCAGACUCCUACGGGAGGCAGCAGUGAGGAAUAUUGCACAAUGGGGGAAACCCUGAUGCAGCAACGCCGCGUGGAGGAUGACGCAUUUCGGUGUGUAAACUCCUUUUAUACGUCAAGAAAAUGACGGUAGCAUAUGAAUAAGCACCGGCUAACUCCGUGCCAGCAGCCGCGGUAAUACGGAGGGUGCAAGCGUUACUCGGAAUCACUGGGCGUAAAGGACGCGUAGGCGGGAUAGUAAGUCUGAUGUGAAAUCCUAUGGCUCAACCAUAGAACUGCAUUGGAAACUGCUGACCUAGAGUAUGGGAGGGGGAGAUGGAAUUAGUGGUGUAGGGGUAAAAUCCGUAGAUAUCACU
This 642-nucleotide ribosomal RNA is filed under the name uncultured Campylobacterota bacterium. RNAcentral's name for it is "bacterial SSU rRNA". It matches the Rfam family "Bacterial small subunit ribosomal RNA", at positions 46 to 701 of the family's 1533-position model. The record is from RNAcentral. Lineage: Bacteria; Pseudomonadati; Campylobacterota.